CACCUCAUUUCAUUAUUUCAUUUCAUUUUUUCAUUUCAUUAUGUCAUUUCAUUUCAUCUCAUUACAUUUCAUCUAAUUUCAUUUCACCUCAUUUCAUCUCAUCAUUUCUUCUCUUUUCAUCUCAUUUCAUCUCAUCAUUUCAUCUCAUAUCUCAAUUCAAUUUCCUUUCAUUAUUUCAUCUCAUUCAUUUCAUCUCAUUUCAUUACAUCUCAUCAUUUCCUCUCAUCAUUACAUCUCAUCUCAUCUCAUCAUUUCAUCAUUUCAUCUCAUCAUUGCAUCUCAUCAUUUCAUCUCAUUUCAUCUCAUCAUUCAUCUCGUCAUUUCAUCUCAUCAUUUCCAUUUCAUUAUUUCAUUUCAUCAUUUAAUUUCAUCAUCUCAUUUAAUUUCACCUCAUUUCGUUAUUUCACAUUUUCAUUUCAUUGUCAUUUCAUUUCAUCUCAUUACAUUUCAUCUCAUUUCAUUUCAUCUCAUUUCAUCUCAUUUCAUCUUUUCAUCUCAUCAUUUCAUCUUAUCAUCUCAUCAACUCUUUUCAUCUUAUCUCAUCAUUUCAUCAUUUCAUCUCAUCAUCUCAUCUCCUAUAUUCUCAUCUCAUUUCAAUUUCAUUCAUUUCAUUAUUUCAUGUCAUCUCAUCAUUUCAUCUCAUCACAUCUCAUCAUUUUAUCAUUUUAUUUCAUCAUCUCAUUUCAUCUCAUCUCAUUUCAAUUUUAUUUAUUUCAAUUUCAUUUCAUUAUUUCAUUUCAUUUCAUCUCAUCAGUUCAUCUCAUCAUUUCAUCAUCUCAUCAUUUCAUAUCAUUUUAUCUCAUCUCAUCAUUUCUUCUCAUUUCAUCUCAUCUCAUUUCAUCAUUACAUUUCAUCUCAUUUUAUGUCAUCAUUUCAUGUCAUCAUUUCAUGUCAUCAUUUCAUCACAUCUCAUCUCAUCAUUUCAUCCCAUCAUUUCAUCUCAUUUCAACUCAUUGCAUCUCAUCUCAUUUCCAUUUCAUUAUUCCAUUUCAUUUCAUUUCAUUAUAUUUCAUCUCAUCAUAUUUCAUCUCAUUUCAUCUCAUCUCAUCAUUUCAUUUCAUCUCAUCAUUUCAUCUCAUUUUAUCUCAUCUCAUUUCAUCUCAUCAUUUCUUCUCAUCUCAUCAUUUCCAUUUCAUUUUCAUUAUUUCAUCAUUUCAUUAUUUCAUUUCAUCUCAUUUCAUUAUUUCAUUUCAUUAUGUCAUUUCAUUUCAUCUCAUUACAUUUCAUCUCAUUUCAUCUCAUUUCAUGCAUCAUUUCAUUUCAUUUCAUCAUUUCAUCUCAUGAUUUCAUCUCAUCUCAUCAUCUCAUUUCAUCUCAUUAUUUCAUCUCACUUCAUCUCAUCUCAUUUCAUCAUUUCAUUUCAUCAUUACAUCUCAUCAUUUCAACUCAUCUCAUUUCAAUUUCAUUUCAAUUUCAUUACAUUUCAUAAUUUCCUUUCAUUAUUUCAUUUCAUUU
This 1455-nucleotide long non-coding RNA is filed under the name Gorilla gorilla gorilla (western lowland gorilla). RNAcentral's name for it is "lncRNA (ENSGGOG00000044330.1)". Lineage: Eukaryota; Metazoa; Chordata; Mammalia; Primates; Hominidae. The record is from RNAcentral.